Molecule: long non-coding RNA, 1103 nt
Organism: Canis lupus familiaris (dog)
Lineage: Eukaryota; Metazoa; Chordata; Mammalia; Carnivora; Canidae
Exons: 3
Source: RefSeq, a predicted model, not a curated record
GGACGCGCAUCUCUGCCGCACAGGACUCUACCAGGCUCCACCUCCACUCUCCCCCCACCCAGCGCCCGGAGGAGGAGGGGGAGGCCGCGGUGGCGGGGAGGUGGUGGGCUGGGCCUGGCUUAACCGGUCUCCCUGCCCCAGGGCGCUCUGGACCUGCAGACUGGGGCGAGGUGUGCAAGGCCAGGAUGGGGCGCGGGGAGCGGAAGGUUGGGGAGCACGGAGGGAAGUCGGCUGCCAGGAGCAGAGGGGAACGGCUUGCCAGCCCUGAAGGGAACAGGAGCCACCUGAGUGCAGGGCACCAGGGCCACAGGGAGGACACCUGGGCUUUGGGCCUGGCUUUGCCACUAAGCAGGAAGACCAAGCCAGGAUCAGAAGCUUGGAACUUUGGGCCUCAUGCCCUAUCUUCUGCAGUGGGAAGAGGGGCUGGAGAAUGAGUUAGUAAUUGAUCGUGCCUGCACGAUGAAGCCUCCAUAAAAAUCUCAAAGUGUAACUCAGAACCUCUGAGUUCCUGAACACAUGGAGGUACUGGGAGGGAGAUGUGCCCAAGAAGACCGGGAAACUCUGCACCCGUUCCUCACCUCGCCCUCCGCAUCUCUGCCAUCUGGCUGUUCCUGAGUCGUGUCCUGUGGUACUACUCUACGAAUGAAGGUGCAAAUUAUUGAACCCGAGAAGGGGGCCAGGGGACCCCGAUUUACAGCUGGCCGAUUGGAAGCACAGAAGACAGCUGGAUUCUCACAUCUGCUUCUGCAUUCAAUCAGUCGUGAAUUAUGUGUCAGCUCUUGUCGUCUGCCUCCGGGAAACCUCCCUGUAUGCCUGGAAGAAAAUGAGACUGGAAAAGAUGAUGAGGAAAAUAGCUUGACCUUGCAAUUGCCCUGAGCCUUGGGAGCCCACAUGGUCCUCAGACCAUGCUUUGAAAACUGCCGGCUUAGAAGACCCUGAUAUUUCCACCAGAUAUGACACUCGCUGGUCUUUCUGAGAAUGCUCUGUGCCAGUGUUUUUCAAAAUAGACCUCAGAGAAUCACACUCCCAGGAAUAAUUUCAUGGGAUGUUCCUGUAUGUGGGGAAAUGUGGUUUCUGUGAGUAAAGGAGUUUGAGAAGCCUUA